GCUUCUGUGGCGCAAUAGGUUAGCGCGUUCGGCUGUUAACCGGAAGGUUGUUGGUUCGAGCCCAACCAGAAGCG
RNAcentral lists this transfer RNA (74 nucleotides) under Edhazardia aedis USNM 41457. It matches the Rfam family "tRNA". Rfam says of the family: Transfer RNA (tRNA) molecules are approximately 80 nucleotides in length. Their secondary structure includes four short double-helical elements and three loops (D, anti-codon, and T loops). The record is from Rfam by way of RNAcentral. Lineage: Eukaryota; Fungi; Microsporidia; Culicosporidae.